This 209-nucleotide ribosomal RNA is filed under the name Bacteroides fragilis. Its description in RNAcentral is "partial 16S ribosomal RNA". It matches the Rfam family "Bacterial small subunit ribosomal RNA", at positions 1317 to 1533 of the family's 1533-position model. The record is from RNAcentral. RNAcentral also lists the same sequence under 1 other name. Lineage: Bacteria; Pseudomonadati; Bacteroidota; Bacteroidia; Bacteroidales; Bacteroidaceae.
UUCGUGAAGCUGGAUUCGCUAGUAAUCGCGCAUCAGCCACGGCGCGGUGAAUACGUUCCCGGGCCUUGUACACACCGCCCGUCAAGCCAUGGGAGCCGGGGGUACCUGAAGUACGUAACCGCAAGGAGCGUCCUAGGGUAAAACUGGUGACUGGGGCUAAGUCGUAACAAGGUAGCCGUACCGGAAGGUGCGGCUGGAACACCUCCUUU